GGAUUAGAUACCCUGGUAGUCCACGCUGUAAACGAUGAUCACUCGCUGCUGGCGAUACACUGUCAGUGGCCAAGCGAAAGCAUUAAGUGAUCCACCUGGGGAGUACGAUCGCAAGGUUGAAACUCAAAGGAAUUGACGGGGGCCCGCACAAGCGGUGGAGCAUGUGGUUUAAUUCGAUGAUACGCGAGGAACCUUACCAGGGCUUAAAUGCACUAUGACCUCCCGAGAAAUCGGGAUUCUCUUUGAGCAGAGUGCAAGGUGCUGCAUGGUUGUCGUCAGCUCGUGCCG
Molecule: ribosomal RNA, 288 nt
Filed under: uncultured bacterium
Lineage: Bacteria
Description: partial 16S ribosomal RNA
Rfam family: Bacterial small subunit ribosomal RNA
Source: RNAcentral